GAUCCUGGCUCAGGACGAACGCUGGCGGCGCGCCUAACACAUGCAAGUCGAACGAGAGAUGAAGAGCUUGCUCUUCAAAUCGAAUGGCGAACGGGUGUGUAACGCGUGAGGAACCUGCCUCAAAGAGGGGGACAACAGUUGGAAACGACUGCUAAUACCGCAUAAGCCCACAGCUCGGCAUCGAGCAGAGGGAAAAGGAGUGAUCCGCUUGAGAUGC
This 217-nucleotide ribosomal RNA is filed under the name uncultured bacterium. RNAcentral's name for it is "partial 16S ribosomal RNA". It matches the Rfam family "Bacterial small subunit ribosomal RNA", at positions 15 to 228 of the family's 1533-position model. The record is from RNAcentral.